CAGCCGCCGCGGGAAUACGAGGGGGGCAAGCGUUGUUCGGAAUUAUUGGGCGUAAAGGGUGCGUAGGCGGUUUGGUAAGUCUUGUGUGAAAUCUUCGGGCUCAACCCGAAGCCUACACGAGAAACUGCCGGGCUUGAGUAUGGGAGAGGUGAGUGGAAUUUCCGGUGUAGCGGUGAAAUGCGUAGAUAUCGGAAGGAACACCUGUGGCGAAAGCGGCUCACUGGACCAUUACUGACGCUGAUGCACGAAAGCUAGGGGAGCAAACAGGAUUAGAUACCCCGGUAGUCCCUGUCUCUUAUAC
This 301-nucleotide ribosomal RNA is filed under the name uncultured bacterium. Its description in RNAcentral is "partial 16S ribosomal RNA". It matches the Rfam family "Bacterial small subunit ribosomal RNA", at positions 509 to 807 of the family's 1533-position model. The record is from RNAcentral.